AUUGAACGCUGGCGGCAGGCCUAACACAUGCAAGUCGAACGAGUGGCGGACGGGUGAGUAAUGUCUGGGAAACUGCCCGAUGGAGGGGGAUCACUCCUGUAAACGGUAGCUAAUACCGCAUCCCAUCGGCUGUGCCCAGAUGGGAUUAGCUAGUAGGUGGGGUAAUGGCUAACCUAGGCGAAGAUCCCUAGCUGGUCUGAGAGGAUGACCAGCCACACUGGAACUGAGACACGGUCCAGACUCCUACGGGAGGCAGCAGUGGGGAAUAUUGCACAAUGGGCGAAAGCCUGAUCCAGCCAUGCCGCGUGUGUGAAGAAGGUCUUCGGAUUGUAAAGCACUUUAAGUUGGGAGGCGUUACCAACAGAAUAAGCACCGGCUAACUUCGUGCCAGCAGCCGCGGUAAUAC
RNAcentral lists this ribosomal RNA (406 nucleotides) under uncultured bacterium. RNAcentral's name for it is "partial 16S ribosomal RNA". It matches the Rfam family "Bacterial small subunit ribosomal RNA", at positions 30 to 526 of the family's 1533-position model. The record is from RNAcentral.